UUCACGGAGAGUUUGAUCCUGGCUCAGGACGAACGCUGGCGGCGUGCUUAACACAUGCAAGUGGAGCGACGAACCGGGGCUUGCCCCGGGGCAGAGCCGCGAACGGGUGAGUAACACGUGGGUAACCCACCCCGAUGACCGGGACAACCCGAGGAAACUCGGGCUAAUACCGGAUGUGGUCUGUCUCCACCAGGAGACAGAGCAAAGAUAGCUUCGGCCUUCGCAUCGGGACGGGCCCGCGGCCCAUUAGCUUGUUGGUGGGGUAACGGCCUACCAAGGCGACGAUGGGUAGCUGGUCUGAGAGGACGAUCAGCCACACUGGGACUGAGACACGGCCCAGACUCCUACGGGAGGCAGCAGUGGGGAAUCUUGCACAAUGCGCGAAAGCGUGAUGCAGCAACGCCGCGUGAGGGAAGACGGCCUUCGGGUUGUAAACCUCUUUCAGUUGGGACGAAGCUUCGUCGGUUAAUAGCCGGCUGGAGUGACGGUACCUUCACAAGAAGCCCCGGCUAACUACGUGCCAGCAGCCGCGGUAAUACGUAGGGGGCAAGCGUUGUCCGGAAUCAUUGGGCGUAAAGCGCGUGUAGGCGGUUCGGUAAGUCCGCUGUAAAAGUCGGGGGCUCAACCCUCGAAAGCCGGUGGAUACUGUCGGGCUAGAGUGCGGAAGAGGCGAGUGGAAUUCCUGGUGUAGCGGUGAAAUGCGCAGAUAUCAGGAGGAACACCAAUUGCGAAGGCAGCUCGCUG
RNAcentral lists this ribosomal RNA (744 nucleotides) under Actinomycetota bacterium. Its description in RNAcentral is "bacterial SSU rRNA". It matches the Rfam family "Bacterial small subunit ribosomal RNA", at positions 1 to 731 of the family's 1533-position model. Lineage: Bacteria; Bacillati; Actinomycetota. The record is from RNAcentral.